RNAcentral lists this ribosomal RNA (342 nucleotides) under uncultured bacterium. RNAcentral's name for it is "bacterial SSU rRNA". It matches the Rfam family "Bacterial small subunit ribosomal RNA", at positions 25 to 349 of the family's 1533-position model. The record is from RNAcentral.
CAGAACGAACGCUGGCGGCGUGCUUAACACAUGCAAGUCGAACGAGAGGGUGUGGGUGUAGCAAUACAGUCGCACCAGUAAAUUGGCGAACGGGUGAGUAACACGUAGAUAACGUACCUUCGAGCGGGGAAUAUCCCGGGGAAACCUGAGCUAAUCCCGCAUAAUAUUCGGAUGGCCCAUGUCAUUGGGAUCAAAGGCCAGCAAGGGUCUCUUGAGGAGGGGGCUGCGGCCGAUUAGAUAGUUGGUGGGGUAUCGUCCUACCAAGGGGAAGAUAGGUAGCCGGCUUGAGAGGGCGCACGGCCACAUUGGCAUUGACUCGCGGGCCAAGAUACUACGGGAGGC